ACCCUUUAAUGUUUGAUGUUCUAACGUGGACCCGUGAUCCGGGUUGCGGACAGUGUCUGGUGGGUAGUUUGACUGGGGCGGUCUCCUCCUAAAGAGUAACGGAGGAGCACGAAGGUUGGCUAAUCCUGGUCGGACAUCAGGAGGUUAGUGCAAUGGCAUAAGCCAGCUUGACUGCGAGCGUGACGGCGCGAGCAGGUGCGAAAGCAGGUCAUAGUGAUCCGGUGGUUCUGAAUGGAAGGGCCAUCGCUCAACGGAUAAAAGGUACUCCGGGGAUAACAGGCUGAUACCGCCCAAGAGUUCAUAUCGACGGCGGUGUUUGGCACCUCGAUGUCGGCUCAUCACAUCCUGGGGCUGAAGUAGGUCCCAAGGGUAUGGCUGUUCGCCAUUUAAAGUGGUACGCGAGCUGGGUUUAGAACGUCGUGAGACAGUUCGGUCCCUAUCUGCCGUGGGCGCUGGAGAACUGAGGGGGGCUGCUCCUAGUACGAGAGGACCGGAGUGGACGCAUCACUGGUGUUCGGGUUGUCAUGCCAAUGGCACUGCCCGGUAGCUAAAUGCGGAAGAGAUAAGUGCUGAAAGCAUCUAAGCACGAAACUUGCCCCGAGAUGAGUUCUCCCUG
This 616-nucleotide ribosomal RNA is filed under the name Salmonella enterica subsp. enterica serovar Newport. RNAcentral describes it as "partial 23S ribosomal RNA". It matches the Rfam family "Bacterial large subunit ribosomal RNA", at positions 2202 to 2817 of the family's 2925-position model. The record is from RNAcentral. Lineage: Bacteria; Pseudomonadati; Pseudomonadota; Gammaproteobacteria; Enterobacterales; Enterobacteriaceae.